AAGUAAUGUUAAGACCUGUUUUUAAACAGUCUAUGGUUAAAACCCAUCACAUCUCCAUUACAGAAAAUUAUUACCUUUAUUGGCCCCAUAAACAAUUAUGUUAGCAUUUCUUUUGUAAUACAAAUGUGAAUUAUUUAACGUUACCGAAGAUUCUUUAUUCACAAGACAAAAACUUUGACGUUGAAUGUAUCUUACAGAAUUGCAACAGCAAUGAGAACUGCUAAAGAAAAUGAACCAAUCAGAAGAUGGACCAUUCUCGAUGUUCACCAUUCAGGCAGAAGACUCUCUGCCAUUGCAGUCCCACAUGACCAGGAAGGUACUAUUAUCAGCGCACUAGUGAUGGGUCGUUCUUGAACGAUCGUUCAUUUUGAACGAAUCUUUAAUGUGACUCGGGAAGAACGAGUCGUCUCGGGGAGUGAUUCGUUCAGUCGCGCAUGCGCAACAUCCUAUAGGUUCUGCACUGAAUUAAUUCACCUGCUUUGAGUCUUUGGGUUUUUCGAGUCGUUUGUUCAUCACGUGACAGCCCCAUAAGCUAAACCUAUGCAGUCUGAGGGAAAAAGACUUAAUAAUAAUAAUAAUAAUAACCAACUCUUUAGUUUAUUACCUUUGUUACCACAUUCAGUGAAUCAUCAUGACAGAAAUUCAUGUUUGCAUUUGUGGUUGUGGACAUGCAUACAGACCAGGAAACAUUCUGAUGUUGUCAGUCAAGUUCUGAGCAGGUUCCAGUCUUCGGAGAAGUUCAUUUAUUCCCAAAGGUGGACAAAAACAUUGUGUUGGUUUUUAAAAGACUAUUUUGAUAAUGACUUUUACUCCUGUGCUGUGGAAAAGAUGAAGGAGUACAGACAUUGAUAAUAAGAAAUGUUUUUUGAGCAUCAAAGAGACUUCUUUCAAAAUACUGUUGGCCACCAGUGUACAUCAAUCCAGCAAAGUCUGGAAAAAAGUGAAAUGAUUAUGAAGGUGGGGUUAUGUCAUGUUACCUAAUGAGAUGAAAAGAACUGUUUUGUCCUGUGUUGGAUAUUUCCU
Long non-coding RNA from Onychostoma macrolepis, 1023 nucleotides. RefSeq lists it as uncharacterized. Lineage: Eukaryota; Metazoa; Chordata; Actinopteri; Cypriniformes; Cyprinidae. The transcript has 3 exons. The record is from RefSeq and is a predicted model, not a curated record.